Molecule: transfer RNA, 75 nt
Filed under: Bacillota bacterium
Lineage: Bacteria; Bacillati; Bacillota
Also listed under: 1 other name
Description: Firmicutes bacterium tRNA-Glu
Rfam family: tRNA
About the family: Transfer RNA (tRNA) molecules are approximately 80 nucleotides in length.
Source: RNAcentral
GGCCCGUUGGUCAAGCGGUUAAGACAUCGCCCUCUCAAGGCGGUAACAGGGGUUCGAUUCCCCUACGGGCUACCA